AUUGCACAUCCUUAGAGAGGGAUCAUUGCACCUGAUAAGCCCCAGACUUCCUUGAGGACAAAGCUGCAGUUAGAGCCUCCCCCAUGAGUUUGCACCUUAUUAAAUCAGAAGGCGAGAACAUGUAGCCUGUGAUUUGCCUCUUCUGCAUGACAGCCAGCAAAUGUCGGAAGCCCUGUGGUCUCUCAAGUUUCACGAAAAACUAAGUCAGUGCCCUCAGAGUGAGGAGCAGAUAUCCAUUAGGAAGGGCACUUUUUA
RNAcentral lists this long non-coding RNA (255 nucleotides) under Homo sapiens (human). RNAcentral describes it as "HSALNT0228502". The record is from RNAcentral. Lineage: Eukaryota; Metazoa; Chordata; Mammalia; Primates; Hominidae.